CACAAAUCUUCUUAAGUUACUAUAGAUUGAAGAAAUAUGGCAAUGAUUGAGCUGAAGAAAGUUCUUGUGAUCAUGUUCAUGAUUAUUAUUAUGCUAGUUGUAGUUCAACUAUGUGACACUACUCAAUCAAAAAUAGUUGAUGAAAGUUGUGCUAUAGAGCGUUUUGCUUGUCGUGCAGAGUGUCUUAUAACAUGUGCUGGUUUUGAUAAUUGCUUGGAAGGUUGUUUUGAGCAUUGUUUGAUGUAAUGAUUUAACAAGGUGCUCGCGGAAUGCAUAUGCUGACAUUGAUUGCUUGAUUCAUGUUGACGACUUGCAACAAUAUUAAAUAAUUAAUUUUUAUGUUAUGUGAAACUUCGUAUAAGAAAUUAAAUGCAAUUAAAUAAAUUAAUUUUAA
Molecule: long non-coding RNA, 394 nt
Organism: Medicago truncatula (barrel medic)
Lineage: Eukaryota; Viridiplantae; Streptophyta; Magnoliopsida; Fabales; Fabaceae
Exons: 2
Source: RefSeq, a predicted model, not a curated record